This 496-nucleotide ribosomal RNA is filed under the name uncultured bacterium. Its description in RNAcentral is "partial 16S ribosomal RNA". It matches the Rfam family "Bacterial small subunit ribosomal RNA", at positions 29 to 507 of the family's 1533-position model. The record is from RNAcentral.
AUGAACGCUGGCGGCGUGCCUAAUACAUGCAAGUCGAGCGAACGGACGAGAAGCUUGCUUCUCUGAUGUUAGCGGCGGACGGGUGAGUAACACGUGGAUAACCUACCUAUAAGACUGGGAUAACUUCGGGAAACCGCAGCUAAUACCGGAUAAUAUUUUGAACCGCAUGGUUCAAAAGUAAAAGACGGUCUUGCUGUCACUUAUAGAUGGAUCCGCGCUGCAUUAGCUAGUUGGUAAGGUAACGGCUUACCAAGGCAACGAUGCAUAGCCGACCUGAGAGGGUGAUCGGCCACACUGGAACUGAGACACGGUCCAGACUCCUACGGGAGGCAGCAGUAGGGAAUCUUCCGCAAAGGGCGAAAGCCUGACGGAGCAACGCCGCGUGAGUGAUGAAGGUCUUCGGAUCGUAAAACUCUGUUAUUAGGGAAGAACAUAUGUGUAAGUAACUGUGCACAUCUUGACGGUACCUAAUCAGAAAGCCACGGCUAACUACGUG